This 73-nucleotide transfer RNA is filed under the name Nanobdellota archaeon. RNAcentral describes it as "tRNA-Met". It matches the Rfam family "tRNA". Rfam says of the family: Transfer RNA (tRNA) molecules are approximately 80 nucleotides in length. Their secondary structure includes four short double-helical elements and three loops (D, anti-codon, and T loops). Further hydrogen bonds mediate the characteristic L-shaped molecular structure. tRNAs have two regions of fundamental functional importance: the anti-codon, which is responsible for specific mRNA codon recognition, and the 3' end, to which the tRNAs corresponding amino acid is attached (by aminoacyl-tRNA synthetases). tRNAs cope with the degeneracy of the genetic code in two manners: having more than one tRNA (with a specific anti-codon) for a particular amino acid; and 'wobble' base-pairing, i.e. permitting non-standard base-pairing at the 3rd anti-codon position. RNAcentral also lists the same sequence under 1 other name. Lineage: Archaea; Nanobdellati; Nanobdellota. The record is from RNAcentral.
GCCUCGGUCGUCUAGCGGUUAGGACACAAGUUUCAUAAGCUUGAUAUCGUCAGUUCAAAUCUGAUCCGAGGCA